Molecule: long non-coding RNA, 613 nt
Organism: Bombina bombina (fire-bellied toad)
Lineage: Eukaryota; Metazoa; Chordata; Amphibia; Anura; Bombinatoridae
Exons: 2
Source: RefSeq, a predicted model, not a curated record
CUCUCGCAUACACACACCCAUGGAGGGAAAGACUUCAGUUGUGAGAUCAGUCAUCCCCUAAGUUUACCCACUAACAUCUCCUGCAGGGGACUCAAGCAAGCAAACAACACAUGAUCAGUUGUGAAAGCAGAGGAUCUCAGCAAAACUUUCUGCAUCCCAAAUAAAGUCAUGUGCAGUGUGAUUUUUGUGUGAAACGCAGGCCUAGAAUUCCCACUGUCGCAAUGUUAUCUCGUGAAUAAGAGCCACCAGAUGCUCUGCAAAUCUAAAUCGCUGUAUAACUGGUCCUUUAAGGUAACUGCUGUAGAUUUCUGACCCUUGCAAGGUCCAGAAAAAUGAACAAAUAGAGACGAAGAAAGCCUAAAAUCCUUUGUAUCUUCAACGUAGAAUUUUAAAACUCCUACAACAUCCAAGUUGUGAAGAAGUCACUCCUUAGAAUUCUUAAGAGCUGGAAGGAUCCAUCAAUUUUUGGUUGAUAUUAUCUGUAGAUACUUUUUACCAGAGGAAGAAAAGAACAGCUAGUGUGAAUAAUAGACUUGUCCUGACGAAAAAAUCUGAUUAUCCUAACUUUUUGACACUAUAAUCUAGAUUUUAUUAAAGACACAGAGACUAAUAA